CCAGACUCCUACGGGAGGCAGCAGUGGGGAAUUUUGCGCAAUGGGGGAAACCCUGACGCAGCAACGCCGCGUGCGGGACGACGGCCCUCGGGUUGUAAACCGCUUUCAGUGGGGACGAUGGUGACGGUACCCACAGAAGAAGCUCCGGCUAACUACGUGCCAGCAGCCGCGGUAAUACGUAGGGAGCGAGCGUUAUCCGGAUUCAUUGGGCGUAAAGCGCGCGUAGGCGGCUGCCUAAGCGGAACCUCUAAUCCCGGGGCUCAACCUCGGGCCGGGUUCCGAACUGGGCGGCUCGAGUGCGGUAGAGGCAGGCGGAAUUCCCGGUGUAGCGGUGGAAUGCGCAGAUAUCGGGAAGAACACCGAUGGCGAAGGCGGCUUACUGGACUGUAACUGACGUUGAGGCUCGAAAGCGUGGGGAGCAAACAGGAUUAGAUACCCCAGUAAG
RNAcentral lists this ribosomal RNA (445 nucleotides) under uncultured bacterium. Its description in RNAcentral is "bacterial SSU rRNA". It matches the Rfam family "Bacterial small subunit ribosomal RNA", at positions 331 to 793 of the family's 1533-position model. The record is from RNAcentral.